RNAcentral lists this ribosomal RNA (775 nucleotides) under uncultured Neocallimastigales. RNAcentral's name for it is "partial large subunit ribosomal RNA". It matches the Rfam family "Eukaryotic large subunit ribosomal RNA", at positions 22 to 644 of the family's 3401-position model. The record is from RNAcentral. Lineage: Eukaryota; Fungi; Neocallimastigomycota; Neocallimastigomycetes; Neocallimastigales.
GUACACGCUGUGACUAGCAUAUCAAUAAGCGGAGGAAAAGAAACUAACAAGGAUUCCCCUAGUAACGGCGAGUGAAGCGGGAAGAGCUCAAAUUUGAAAUCUUAAAGGGUUUCCCUUUACGAAUUGUAGUUUAAAGAAGUGUUUUCUGUUGAGGUUUUGGUAAAAGUUCUUUGGAAUAGGACAUCAUAGAGGGUGAGAAUCCCGUAUUUGACCUUUACUUUCAACUUUGUGAUACACUUUCAAAGAGUCGGAUUGUUUGGGAAUGCAGUCCAAAAUGGGUGGUAAAUUUCAUCUAAAGCUAAAUAUUGGCGAGAGACCGAUAGCGAACAAGUACCGUGAGGGAAAGAUGAAAAGAACUUUGAAAAGAGAGUUAAACAGUACGUGAAAUUGUCAAAAGGGAAGCGCUUGACACCAGUGUUGUUUUUCUGAAAAUCAAUUAGAGAACUGUUUAUGCUAAGUUGUUUAGACUUUAUCAGCUAAUCUGUUUAGUUUUGAGCUUUUCUUUAAUGCACUUUUCAGUUAACAAGUCAACAUCAAUUUCUUUUGCUGUAAAAAAGCUUGAGGAAGGUGGCUUGAGAUUCGUCUUAAGUGUUUAUAGCCUCUUGCCUAUGCAGUCGGAGAGAUUGAGGUCUGCAGCGUAGAUCCUUCGGGGCUAAAUGCAUUUGUGCUAAGUUAUAACAUUUUAUAGACAACUUGUUGACUAUGAUUUGUCUUGUAGCUUACUCGCUUAUGUUAUUUUACCUACGCUUAGGAUGUUGAAUCUGUGCGAGACUAC